UUAGAUGGAUUGUCGCUGUGACACGAGUGCAUUUCCCAAUUUCCGUUCCAAAAACGUCUGGGAAAGCUUCCUGGAUCUCCUUGACAGCCUUCGUGGUGUCAAUUUCUUCUUGAAUUGCAUAACAGUUUGUCUUGGCAUUGUCGGAUACCAAACAUCGACCUCGAGCUUGCUUUCCAUGGAGCACAAUGUCACAUUGGAACUCACCAAUGAUGGGAAUCCUACGUGAUUGAGCAUCUUUGACAUGAACAGAUGGUUCUGAGAGGUUAGGUUUUCCAAGAACCUCCCAAGUACUCCUGGAUACCACCGAGACAUCCGCAGCGCAGUCCAAUUGGAAAUCCACUGAGUGGCCGUUAAUCUGCGGAGUCAAGAAUUUUCUUCCUCUCGGAUGAGCGGUGAAAACUGCAUAGGUGUUUGCCGAUGCCUUCUUCUUCUUCCUGAAGAACCUCUUCUUGGGCUUUCCAGCGGUUCCUCUGCUGUCUUCCUGACCCUUUUUAGGGGGACAGUAACCCGUUUUGUGACCGACAGUAUCACAAUCCUGGCAUUUCGUAUUUUUGUGGACGCAGUCCCGGAUGAAAUGCAUUCCGCCACACAGGAAACACGGUCGAGGCGGGCGGUCAGACUGUGAAGAGGGUCGCGAUGGCGUCUUCCGGAUAGCACUGACGUUGGCAGGAGUGAUACCAAGACGAGCAUCCUUCUUCAUAUUGGAAAUUCUCUGAGCUUCAUCAAUCAGGAACCCCAAAUUGAUUUUGUUUGAGGGCUCAGUUUCCAAGCGUGCCAGUAGCUGCUCCCGGACAAAGACAUGCUUGUCACUUUGGAUGCUGAUGCAAAAGAUCAAUGCCUUAAAGUGAUCAGGCGUGCAUUCACCUAGCCGAAAAUCUUCACAAAGACUGUUGAUAGCAGCUCCGUGCGCUGCCCAAUCCUCAGAUUCCUUCAUCACAUGCUGUAGGCACUUCCGACGAAGACUGAAGAGAGACUCUCCCUUUCCAAACAACUUGGAAAGUCUCGAGAUGUUGUCAUCGAAUGAGAGAUCUGCUGGGUUUAUCGGACGUAGGAGAUUGGCAUAUCUGUAGUAAGCAGUAUUGUCCAGUCGACGGAGAAGGAGUCUCACACGUCCUGCAUCGUCGAGAUUGCUUCCAUCGCUCAGGAAUGUUGACUUGUACCGGGAAUACCACACGUCGAAGGUCAUAUUGUCCUCCGGAGAGAACGUAAAUGCUGCUAUGGAGCGAGCAAGGGCAUCCAUGGACACUUCAGGUAUUGAUGAUGUGGCUUCCGGAACAAUUGGCUUAACCUCUUUCAGCUUGGCAUCUAUGAGCUUCUCAAUUGCGGUAAGAAACCCAGACAGAGGAUCAUUCCCAGCUUGAGCCAUUCUCGAUCGCCAGUUCUGUUGUGUAUUGUUACGGGAUUUACCUGAGAAAUAGAAGAAUAUUUAGUAAAAUCCAA
This is a long non-coding RNA of Phlebotomus papatasi, 1440 nucleotides long. RefSeq lists it as uncharacterized. The transcript has 2 exons. The record is from RefSeq and is a predicted model, not a curated record. NCBI's taxonomy places the organism in Eukaryota, Metazoa, Arthropoda, Insecta, Diptera, Psychodidae.